RNAcentral lists this ribosomal RNA (253 nucleotides) under uncultured bacterium. RNAcentral's name for it is "partial 16S ribosomal RNA". It matches the Rfam family "Bacterial small subunit ribosomal RNA", at positions 524 to 776 of the family's 1533-position model. The record is from RNAcentral.
UACGGGGGGGGCAAGCGUUGUUCGGAAUUACUGGGCGUAAAGGGCUCGUAGGUGGUCAACUAAGUCGGACGUGAAAUCCCUCGGCUUAACCGGGGAACUGCGUCCGAUACUGGAUGACUUGAGUUCGGGAGAGGGAUGCGGAAUUCCAGGUGUAGCGGUGAAAUGCGUAGAUAUCAGGAGGAACACCUGUGGCGAAAGCGGCUCACUGGACCACAACUGACGCUGAGGCGCGAAAGCUAGGGGAGCAAACAGG